Molecule: long non-coding RNA, 2146 nt
Filed under: Rattus norvegicus (Norway rat)
Lineage: Eukaryota; Metazoa; Chordata; Mammalia; Rodentia; Muridae
Description: long non-coding RNA NONRATT025085
Source: RNAcentral
GAAGUCUUUGACCAUUUCCAUCAGGACUCGUUUGGAUUCUUCAGAGCCUCCAGCCCAGAGCUCCCUCUACCAAGUUCUGACGUGGCACACUAUCUAUGCUCUGGUAGUUCACACUCGUUUUGCACUACUAUUCCUAUCAGAACGUUCUGAUUUCCCACUGGGGAAAGAAUUAACUUUUCCCUACAAUCGUACAUCUAAAUAUUUGACCUCUGGUAUUGUGCUCCUUCUAAGUCUUUCUUCUCAGCUACUUGUAUGACAUUAGCUUGAGCAGAAAAUUGUGGAUAGGCCAAGAUCAGAGGUAAACUCUGUGCAGCGCUCAUGUGAGAUGCUUCAGGUUCUAAGGUUAAUGCCACUGGGACUGAACAGUAAGCACGUUUCUCCAACAGUUGGCUGGUGUGGGGACAUGUUUGUGCUUCUUAAUUUUAUUUUAUAUCAUGAGACAUGUAGGUUAGUGUUUCUUAUAAGUCUGCAUAUGUGUAUAUAUACAUAAAAUGUUGUACAAUGACUGUAAAUAGGUUUUGAAAAGUUUUAGAGUUCACUUAGAAUUAUUUCACCCAAAAGUCAAAAUGCUACUUUAGUAAAAUGUUAAUUUCUUGCUUUAUCCCACUUACUAAGUAGGGAGGGGAGAUCAAUGUGAGAAAUGUCUGUAGAUGUCCUAAAUGUAUACAGUUUAUUUUUUAAAGAGACUUUUAGAGUGGGAGUUUAACUGCCCAUGCAGAGUAUAGCUUAAAGUGUUAAAAGCAUCAAAAGUGAAAUCCUAGAAUUAUGUGUAGAUUCAGCUCUCAAACUUUCUUUCCAGUGGUUCUCUCCAAAAUCACAGAUGAUGUGUUUUAUGGCCAUAACGACUGUUGUUUCUUUUUUUUUUUUUUUAAAGCACUGGUUUUAGACUUUUAGACAUUGCUGGGAAGACCCUGUUGCCCUGUUUGCUGACUUCUAGUUUUUAAAGGCCUUGCUCUUUUGUUUCCCCUAAGGGGAGAAAUGUUUUAUUUCAUCUAAAGGUCUUUACUCUUAGAGAGUUUGUGAGGGAGAGAAGCCCGUGUGGUUUAGGAUGAGCCACGGUAUUUUUAUUUGCUGUGAUUUCAGCUAAGCCGUGUUAAAUGUGAAUCCCUCCUUGAAACUGCAGUGUGCUGUUUGUAUAUUUGCUCAUCAGCAUGUUUUGUAUGAACAGAUAGAAGUCAUAACUUUAAGGUAUAGGAGGACAUCUUACAGGUCUAGAGUUUCAGUAAUAAAUCAAUAUUCAGGGAAGGUAUUAUUUUGAGAAACUUUUUUUUUUUAAGAAACAAGUUAGGCUUCUUGGGAAACUUUUUUUUGUUUUGUUUUGUUUUGUUUUGUUGGUUCUUUUUUUCGGAGCUGGGGACCGAACCCAGGGCCUUGCACUUCCUAGGCAAGCGCUCUACCACUGAGCUAAAUCCCCAGCCCCAGGAAACAUUUUUAACAUGUGGGAAUAAAUUUGUGAUUUCCCCUCUUACUUCGCUGAGUAAAGAAAAGGAGAACACCCCGGAAACCGGGAAAGGGAAUAACAUUUGAAAUGUAAAUAAGAAAUACUCAAGUUAAUAAAAAAAAAAAGAAAAGAAAGGAAAAGAAAAGAAAAGAAAAGGAGAACACGCUGCUGAUGUCAGCAUCUUUUAAGGUCCCAGUCACAGAAGUCUGAGCACAAUGUGAGUCGUUCUGAGUGGAUCGCCUGCGAUUGUUUAGCAUUCCAGUGAGUCAUUAAGCAAAGCCAAAACCCAGGUCAGAGCCUAAGAACCAAAGCACGCACCGGAGAGUCAGUCAGGAGAUGGAGGCUGCCCCCACUUGAACAUCUUAGCACUGUAAAGACUCCGCUUCAGGCAUCUGGACAGCUAUUUAAUAGCAAAUUAAAGUUGUGCUUUUUCAUUUUGUUUUUUGGAUGAUGUAAGUUUAUUCUCAUUGCAAGAACAUUACCAUAACAUGACUUAAAGGAAUACAGGUUAAAAACAAAACAAAGUAAAACCCAAAAGUAAACCAAGAUUAACUUGAGUUAAUCUAGAACCAUCCCCAGAAUUGUUUUCUGCCCAAGGUUAAUGUGAAUAUGUUUAUAUUGGUUUUGUAAUUUCAUUUUAGUCAUUCUAUCCCAAAAAGAGUUUAAUGUGAGCUUAAAAUGUAAAUAAAUAAUUUUGCAAACAUG